AGUGAACGCUGGCGGUAGGCCUAACACAUGCAAGUCGAACGGCAGCACAGGAGAGCUUGCUCUCUGGGUGGCGAGUGGCGGACGGGUGAGGAAUACAUCGGAAUCUGCCCAGUCGUGGGGGAUAACGUAGGGAAACUUACGCUAAUACCGCAUACGACCUUCGGGUGAAAGAGGGGGAUCGCAAGACCUCUCGCGAGUGGAUGAGCCGAUGUCGGAUUAGCUAGUUGGCGGGGUAAUGGCCCACCAAGGCGACGAUCCGUAGCUGGUCUGAGAGGAUGAUCAGCCACACUGGAACUGAGACACGGUCCAGACUCCUACGGGAGGCAGCAGUGGGGAAUAUUGGACAAUGGGCGCAAGCCUGAUCCAGCCAUACCGCGUGGGUGAAGAAGGCCUUCGGGUUGUAAAGCCCUUUUGUUGGGAAAGAAAUCUUUCAGGCUAAUACCCUGGGAGGAUGACGGUACCCAAAGAAUAAGCACCGGCUAACUUCGUG
Molecule: ribosomal RNA, 490 nt
Filed under: uncultured bacterium
Lineage: Bacteria
Description: partial 16S ribosomal RNA
Rfam family: Bacterial small subunit ribosomal RNA
Source: RNAcentral